Molecule: ribosomal RNA, 1371 nt
Filed under: uncultured bacterium
Lineage: Bacteria
Description: bacterial SSU rRNA
Rfam family: Bacterial small subunit ribosomal RNA
Source: RNAcentral
GAUGAACGCUGGCGGCGUGCCUAAUACAUGCAAGUCGAGCGAACAGAUAAGGAGCUUGCUCCUUUGAAGUUAGCGGCGGACGGGUGAGUAACACGUGGGUAACCUACCUAUAAGACUGGGAUAACUUCGGGAAACCGGAGCUAAUACCGGAUAACAUUUAGAACCGCAUGGUUCUAAAGUGAAAGAUGGUUUUGCUAUCACUUAUAGAUGGACCCGCGCCGUAUUAGCUAGUUGGUAAGGUAACGGCUUACCAAGGCGACGAUACGUAGCCGACCUGAGAGGGUGAUCGGCCACACUGGAACUGAGACACGGUCCAGACUCCUACGGGAGGCAGCAGUAGGGAAUCUUCCGCAAUGGGCGAAAGCCUGACGGAGCAACGCCGCGUGAGUGAUGAAGGGUUUCGGCUCGUAAAACUCUGUUAUUAGGGAAGAACAAAUGUGUAAGUAACUGUGCACAUCUUGACGGUACCUAAUCAGAAAGCCACGGCUAACUACGUGCCAGCAGCCGCGGUAAUACGUAAGUGGCAAGCGUUAUCCGGAAUUAUGGGCGUUAAGCGCGCGUAGGCGGUUUCUUAAGUCUGAUGUGAAAGCCCACGGCUCAACCGUGGAGGGUCAUUGGAAACUGGGAAACUUGAGUGCAGAAGAGGAAAGUGGAAUUCCAUGUGUAGCGGUGAAAUGCGCAGAGAUAUGGAGGAACACCAGUGGCGAAGGCGACUUUCUGGUCUGUAACUGACGCUGAUGUGCGAAAGCGUGGGGAUCAAACAGGAUUAGAUACCCUGGUAGUCCACGCCGUAAACGAUGAGUGCUAAGUGUUAGGGGGUUUCCGCCCCUUAGUGCUGCAGCUAACGCAUUAAGCACUCCGCCUGGGGAGUACGACCGCAAGGUUGAAACUCAAAGGAAUUGACGGGGACCCGCACAAGCGGUGGAGCAUGUGGUUUAAUUCGAAGCAACGCGAAGAACCUUACCAAAUCUUGACAUCCUUUGAAAACUCUAGAGAUAGAGCCUUCCCCUUCGGGGGACAAAGUGACAGGUGGUGCAUGGUUGUCGUCAGCUCGUGUCGUGAGAUGUUGGGUUAAGUCCCGCAACGAGCGCAACCCUUAAGCUUAGUUGCCAUCAUUAAGUUGGGCACUCUAGGUUGACUGCCGGUGACAAACCGGAGGAAGGUGGGGAUGACGUCAAAUCAUCAUGCCCCUUAUGAUUUGGGCUACACACGUGCUACAAUGGACAAUACAAAGGGCAGCUAAACCGCGAGGUCAUGCAAAUCCCAUAAAGUUGUUCUCAGUUCGGAUUGUGGUCUGCAACUCGACUACAUGAAGCUGGAAUCGCUAGUAAUCGUAGAUCAGCAUGCUACGGUGAAUACGUUCCCGGGUCU